CAAUGGCAGGUACAGAGGGAUGCUACCGGGCGACCGGAUGCGGAUCUCGAAAGCCUGUCCCAGUUCGGACUGGAGUCUGCAACCCGACUCCACGAAGUUGGAUUCGCUAGUAAUCGCGCAUCAGCCAUGGCGCGGUGAAUACGUUCCCGGGCCUUGUACACACCGCCCGUCAAGCCAUGGGAGCCGGGGGCGCCUGAAGUCCGGGACCGCGAGGACCGGCCUAGGGCGAAACUGGUAACUGGGGCUAAGUCGUAACAAGGUACC
Molecule: ribosomal RNA, 264 nt
Filed under: uncultured bacterium
Lineage: Bacteria
Description: partial 16S ribosomal RNA
Rfam family: Bacterial small subunit ribosomal RNA
Source: RNAcentral